This 115-nucleotide ribosomal RNA is filed under the name Staphylococcus gallinarum. RNAcentral describes it as "partial 16S ribosomal RNA". The stretch from base 1 to 96 matches the Rfam family "Bacterial small subunit ribosomal RNA", at positions 1440 to 1533 of the family's 1533-position model. The record is from RNAcentral. Lineage: Bacteria; Bacillati; Bacillota; Bacilli; Caryophanales; Staphylococcaceae.
CAUUUAUGGAGCUAGCCGUCGAAGGUGGGACAAAUGAUUGGGGUGAAGUCGUAACAAGGUAGCCGUAUCGGAAGGUGCGGCUGGAUCACCUCCUUUCUAAGGAUAUAUUCGGAAC